RNAcentral lists this ribosomal RNA (433 nucleotides) under uncultured bacterium. Its description in RNAcentral is "partial 16S ribosomal RNA". It matches the Rfam family "Bacterial small subunit ribosomal RNA", at positions 29 to 507 of the family's 1533-position model. The record is from RNAcentral.
AACGAACGCUGGCGGCAUGCCUAACACAUGCAAGUCGAACGAGACCUUCGGGUCUAGUGGCGCACGGGUGCGUAACGCGUGGGAACCUGCCCUUAGGUUCGGAAUAACUCCCCGAAAGGGGUGCUAAUACCGGAUAAUGUCUUCGGACCAAAGAUUUAUCGCCUUUGGAUGGGCCCGCGUUGGAUUACCUAGUUGGUAGGGUAAAAGCCUACCAAGGCGACGAUCCAGAGCUGGUCUGAGAGGAUGAUCAGCCACACUGGGACUGAGACACGGCCCAGACUCCUACGGGAGGCAGCAGUGGGGAAUAUUGGACAAUGGGCGAAAGCCUGAUCCAGCAAUGCCGCGUGAGUGAUGAAGGCCUUAGGGUUGUAAAGCUCUUUUACCCGGGAUGAUAAUGACAGUACCGGGAGAAUAAGCUCCGGCUAACUCCGUG